AGCAGAGGACUAAGGAUGAAGUAUGAGACGCGCAGCGGAGAGGAGAACGGACGAGGUGGCGGAGACCAGAAUUGCCGCGGCGGUAGAGAGGGGAAUUGACGACGCCGCAAACAGAGAGACUGGUGACGGCGCGGGUGAGAAGGUAGAGUGAUGAGGGAUGGCGGCACGGUGAGAGAGAGAGGGUUGAAUAGGCUGGUGAGAAGGGAGAGUGGCUGCAGAGGGUGAAAAAAAGGAGAGUGGCGAUGGGGAAUAUGCA
Non-coding RNA from Arachis ipaensis, 256 nucleotides. NCBI's taxonomy places the organism in Eukaryota, Viridiplantae, Streptophyta, Magnoliopsida, Fabales, Fabaceae. The record is from RefSeq and is a predicted model, not a curated record.